Molecule: ribosomal RNA, 400 nt
Filed under: uncultured Glomeromycotina
Lineage: Eukaryota; Fungi; Glomeromycota
Description: eukaryotic LSU rRNA
Source: RNAcentral
GAAAAGAACUUUGAAAAGAGAGUUAAACAGUACGUGAAAUUGUUGAAAGGGAAACGAUUAAAGUCAGUCGUACCAGCGGGAAAUCAACCUUUCGAGUGGUAUUUUGGAGUUUUGAAGAGUGUUAAAAACCUUUGAGAUUUCAAAAUUUUCGCUUUUUUGGUGUACUUUCUCGUAGGUAGGUUAACAUCGAUUUUUGUUGCGUCAUAAUGAUUGUAGGAAUGUGGCUCUUUCGGGAGUGUUAUAGCCUACUUUAGAUGGCGUGAUAAAGAUCGAGGAUUGCAGCGAAUGCCUUCAGGCUAUGGAUCUGUUCUCUGUCGAUCGUUAAUUGCACUUCAGCUUGCUGAGGGACAGUUGAUAGAUUUACAGCAGGAUAGAAUCUAAUAAAUUCGCUAAGGAUGUU